RNAcentral lists this ribosomal RNA (481 nucleotides) under uncultured bacterium. Its description in RNAcentral is "partial 16S ribosomal RNA". It matches the Rfam family "Bacterial small subunit ribosomal RNA", at positions 28 to 507 of the family's 1533-position model. The record is from RNAcentral.
GACGAACGCUGGCGGCGUGCUUAACACAUGCAAGUCGAACGGGAUCCGGGCUUUCGGGUUUGGUGAGAGUGGCGAACGGGUGAGUAACACGUGAGUAACCUGCCCCCUUCUUUGGGAUAACGUCGGGAAAUCGGCGCUAAUACUGGAUAUUCUUGCUGCAUCGCAUGGUGUGGUUUGGAAAGGGUUUCUGGUGGGGGAUGGGCUCGCGGCCUAUCAGCUUGUUGGUGGGGUGAUGGCCUACCAAGGCUUUGACGGGUAGCCGGCCUGAGAGGGUGUCCGGCCACACUGGGACUGAGACACGGCCCAGACUCCUACGGGAGGCAGCAGUGGGGAAUAUUGCACAGUGGGCGCAAGCCUGAUGCAGCGACGCCGCGUGAGGGAUGACGGCCUUCGGGUUGUAAACCUCUUUCAGUAUGGAACAAGGAUCCUUCUUGUGGGGGGUUUGAGGGUACGUGCAGAAGAAGCGCCGGCUAACUACGUG